ACAUAAACUAAUAUUGGGACGAGUAAUUAUAAAUCCAUUCAGAGAGUCAAUGGCUGGUGAAAAUUGACAUGGCGCUUUAUAAUGAAUAUCACCCAUAGUUGUUCUUGUGAACUCACAGUAGCGAGAACCGGUUAAAUACCGUUAUCAUGAAUGAAGCACUCCUAUGAGUGAAAUUUGGGUGGUACCACGGUUUAUUCGUCCCAUAG
RNAcentral lists this non-coding RNA (206 nucleotides) under Clostridiales bacterium. RNAcentral describes it as "T-box sequence". It matches the Rfam family "T-box leader". Rfam says of the family: Uncharged tRNA acts as the effector for transcription antitermination of genes in the T-box leader family. T-boxes are found upstream of many aminoacyl-tRNA synthetase genes and some amino acid biosynthetic genes usually in Gram-positive bacteria. The anticodon of a specific tRNA base pairs to a specifier sequence within the T-box motif, and the NCCA acceptor tail of the tRNA base pairs to a conserved bulge in the T-box antiterminator hairpin. Lineage: Bacteria; Bacillati; Bacillota; Clostridia; Eubacteriales. The record is from RNAcentral.